Molecule: ribosomal RNA, 253 nt
Filed under: uncultured bacterium
Lineage: Bacteria
Description: partial 16S ribosomal RNA
Rfam family: Bacterial small subunit ribosomal RNA
Source: RNAcentral
UACGUAGGGGGCAAGCGUUGUCCGGAAUCAUUGGGCGUAAAGAGCGUGUAGGCGGCUCGGUAAGUCCGCUGUGAAAGUCCAGGGCUCAACCCUGGAAUGCCGGUGGAAACUGUCGGGCUAGAGUCCGGAAGAGGCGAGUGGAAUUCCUGGUGUAGCGGUGAAAUGCGCAGAUAUCAGGAGGAACACCAAUGGCGAAGGCAGCUCGCUGGGACGGUACUGACACUCAAGUGCGAAAGCGUGGGGAGCAAACAGG